UCCGGCUUGUCACCGGCAGUCUCCCUAGAGUCCCCAUCUUUACAUGCUGGUAACUAGGAAUAGGGGUUGCGCUCGUUACGGGACUUAACCCAACAUCUCACAACACGAGCUGACGACAGCCAUGCAGCACCUGUAUCAGAGUUCCUUUCGGCACCAAUGCAUCUCUGCAUCGUUCUCUGUAUGUCAAGGGUAGGUAAGGUUCUGCGCGUUGCAUCGAAUUAAACCACAUGCUCCACCGCUUGUGCGGGCCCCCGUCAAUUCCUUUGAGUUUUAAUCUUGCGACCGUACUCCCCAGGCGGUCAACUUAUCGCGUUAGCUGCGCUACUAAUCUUAUCUAUAAGAAUAACAGCUAGUUGACAUCGUUUACAGCGUGGACUAC
This 379-nucleotide unclassified non-coding RNA is filed under the name uncultured Legionellaceae bacterium. Its description in RNAcentral is "contains 16S-23S intergenic spacer region". Lineage: Bacteria; Pseudomonadati; Pseudomonadota; Gammaproteobacteria; Legionellales; Legionellaceae. The record is from RNAcentral.